Molecule: RNA transcript, 2338 nt
Organism: Oreochromis niloticus (Nile tilapia)
Lineage: Eukaryota; Metazoa; Chordata; Actinopteri; Cichliformes; Cichlidae
Exons: 9
Source: RefSeq, a predicted model, not a curated record
UUUCUGCUCACACACAGGAUGUACUUAGUGGCUUAAGGGAAACUAAUUAAGGAAAAUAGGUACACAGUUGUACACAGAGCAGUUCAGAUUCUGAAAAGUCCUAUCUGAAAACCAGGGAAGUGCAGUACAGAGCAAUGUGACUCAACUUGGUUUUCUGUCUGAUGCUGAAAGAUAGCAAAGUCAGCUACAGUAUUUUGAAUCACACUCGUACGCCAUAAUGUUGUACAGGGUAUCAUUUUCAUGUGCAAAUCACCUAAAUAUUAAAUAUUAAAAAGUAUUAAAUGGAAAUGAAGAAAUAUAAUGUCCAGGGUUGUGCAAUCCACAUUUGUAAGUGUCUUGUGCAGUGCAAAUAUGCUUAAAAGUGAUUUAAGUGAUGAAGUGAUUCGAUUAGAUGACCACGCAUCUAAUCGAAUUAGUGUAAACAAUGUCCAGAAUCAGCUCUGUUAUAUUUCAGAGACCAACAGCAAGUUUUCACUGAGAAGGUAAGUUGAAAUUAGAUUACUAAUUACCCACUAAUUACCAGAAUGCGUGCGUAUUUGGUAAAUCCUUAAGAACUGCCUUGUAAAAUUAACACAAAAAGAACUCGUAGAAUGAUUAAAUGUUUAUUAUUAUUAAUUAUUAAACACUUUAAUAUUUCUGUUUAAACAUUAUAUAAACUGGCAAAAUGUCCACAGGGAUAGCCUUCAUGAGCCUUUUUUUUUUUUACUAAGAAUAACUUCUCUGAUAGAGUAUGGGAUAAACUGAAGCCUCGUCUCGAGUUAAAGGUCAAGUUCAUAUGAUUUCAUUUGCAGAAGUUUGUCUAUUUCAUCAGAAGAGACCUGCACAGACAAGCCUUUGUUUGUCAGUGGUAUCUGUCUCGAUUUGACUACCAAAGUACUAUACUGCCCUAUUCAAAGUGCAUAUUGUCAUGUUGUUUGGAUGUACCAAUAUUAACGGUAUAUUAUUUUGCAUAAAAUCCCAUGUGUUCAACUUUCUCUGUUUUUUUGUUGUUGUUGGGUUUGGGGGGGUUUUUUUGUUUUUUUUUUGCCUUUUGUGUUUACAGGCCAUGGAAUUGCUGAACCCUCUUUCACUACUUUUAGCAACAGUCCAGCUGCACUUUGUUUUCUCUUCCGAUGUGUGCCCAAAUGCAGGAGAUUUAGAAAUUGGCAAUUUAACUUGGAAACUUGAAUGUUGUAUGAGCAACAGAAAACAAUUCACACUGAAAAUUGUGGCUCAAAAAUUGGACUCAUUGGACUCGAUGUACAGCUCAGAAAGGUGUCCUGGCACCAAUUACAGAGAGCGAAAGUGUUUGAAUUUCUCUCUAGCGGUAGAAAAUGGAAUUAUAAAGGUCUCUGUAAACGAUACAGUUUGUAAGGAAAACUACACUCAGCCUGAAUGCCACCCAAAUGUCACUUUCAACAAUACAGCUGUAAAUCUUCCACAACAGAAUGGAAAUAUCUGCUUCAAUAUGACAUCAGAGAACAACAUGAAAGUAAAGAUUAAAUUUCAGUGUGCUGAGUACCCUGCUGCUAACAUCAGUCUACACGACGAAAGUAAAAGUUGGAUUGAUGCCUUGGAGGACUGCCAGAUGGAACAUUUCUCCCUGGUUGAGAUCUGUGAAAAGACUGCAAAAUAAAACAGACUCAAAGACAGGGGUGUGGAUUGGACUGCAAAGGUCCAUUUUUGGCUACAGUCCUGAGUGGAAGUGGAUUUCAGGGUAUAAUGUUGUAAAAUCACAGUUGAAUAGAACGUCGUCCACCAACUCUGACUUUGACAACCACUGUGGAAAAGUCAUCUUUGAUAAUAAGACAGAAGAAAUCAAGUGGUCCAACGCCAACUGCCAUGAAAAAUUACCAUACAUUUGUCAAAGAAUGAAUGAAAAGCCUUGUACUGAUGAUUAUACAGAGAAGUCAGAGCUUUUCAUUGACAUUGACUGAACUGAUAGCACCAAAGAAAACAAUACGCAGCGUCUCCAAUCAUCAUCAUGUCAAGGUGAGAUUCUUGGAGAAGCAGAUUGAUGACCCAACAACCCCAAUGACCAUGGCACAUCUGAUUCAUCUAUCAUUACUGCUAGCAGUGAGCCAGCUGCCCUGUGUUUCAGCCAUACGAGACUUUCCAGAUGGAGGAAUCAAAUUUACUCCCUAUCAUCUGUGCCCUGUUGGAGGGAAUAUUACACACGACUGCAAUUGCACAGCUGGCAAGUGGAUAUGGAAAUUUAAAUGUUGUGGGCCCACUGUUAACCAAGUCACACUGGAAGCAACUGCCACAGCCAAUUACACUGAGACAGAGGACUGUACUAAUAAACAGAGAUGGGCAGUAAUGCGUUACUUGUAAUGCGUUACUGUAAUCUGAUUACUUU